GGAAAUGUGCCUGAACAAAGGGCCGCUUUGAUAGAGCGGACUAUGAGGACUAAAACCCCUCCACUUCCU
This 69-nucleotide transfer RNA is filed under the name Moringua microchir (lesser thrush eel). RNAcentral describes it as "tRNA-Ile". The record is from RNAcentral. Lineage: Eukaryota; Metazoa; Chordata; Actinopteri; Anguilliformes; Moringuidae.